RNAcentral lists this ribosomal RNA (495 nucleotides) under uncultured bacterium. RNAcentral's name for it is "partial 16S ribosomal RNA". It matches the Rfam family "Bacterial small subunit ribosomal RNA", at positions 28 to 523 of the family's 1533-position model. The record is from RNAcentral.
GAUGAACGCUAGCGGGAGGCCUAACACAUGCAAGCCGAGCGGUAUGGUUCCUUCGGGGACCAGAGAGCGGCGUACGGGUGCGGAACACGUGUGCAACCUGCCUUUAUCUGGAGGAUAGCCUUUCGAAAGGAAGAUUAAUACUCCAUAAUAUAUUAAUUGGCAUCAAUUGAUAUUGAAAACUCCGGUGGCUAGAGAUGGGCACGCGCAAGAUUAGCUAGUUGGUGAGGUAACGGCUCACCAAGGCAAUGAUCUUUAGGGGGCAUGAGAGGGUGAUCCCCCAGGCUGGUACUGGGGCACGGAGCAGACGCCUACGGGAGGCAGCAGUGAGGAAUAUUGGUGAAUGGGUGCAAGCCUGAACCAGCCAGCCCGCGUGAAGAAUUAAGGUCCUAUGGAUUGUAAACUUCUUUUGUAUAGGGAUAAACCUACCCUCGUGAGGGUAGCUGAAGGUACUAUACGAAUAAGCACCGGCUAACUCCGUGCCAGCCGCCGCGGUAA